UUAACUUAUUAUAUAGUACUCAGACGACACUAAAACAUAGAAUUGGGGUCCUUUGGCAAGCACGACCCAGCUAAUUAAAGCCGGAGGCCUACCAAAGCAACAAUGGUAUAUAAAUCAGGGUGGGAGGUCUACCCGUGAGGGCAUGAUCUCUGUAAUGAUCCUUCCGCUGGUUCACCAACGGAAA
RNAcentral lists this unclassified non-coding RNA (184 nucleotides) under uncultured fungus. RNAcentral describes it as "sequence contains ITS1". Lineage: Eukaryota; Fungi. The record is from RNAcentral.